RNAcentral lists this ribosomal RNA (1379 nucleotides) under Listeria monocytogenes. RNAcentral's name for it is "partial 23S ribosomal RNA". It matches the Rfam family "Bacterial large subunit ribosomal RNA", at positions 1 to 1375 of the family's 2925-position model. The record is from RNAcentral. Lineage: Bacteria; Bacillati; Bacillota; Bacilli; Caryophanales; Listeriaceae.
GGUUAAGUUAGAAAGGGCGCACGGUGGAUGCCUUGGCACUAGGAGCCGAAGAAGGACGGGACUAACACCGAUAUGCUUUGGGGAGCUGUACGUAAGCGUUGAUCCAGAGAUUUCCGAAUGGGGGAACCCACUAUCUUUAGUCGGAUAGUAUCCUUACGUGAAUACAUAGCGUGAGGAAGGCAGACCCAGGGAACUGAAACAUCUAAGUACCUGGAGGAAGAGAAAGAAAAAUCGAUUUCCUGAGUAGCGGCGAGCGAAACGGAAAGAGCCCAAACCAAGAAGCUUGCUUCUUGGGGUUGUAGGACACUCUAUACGGAGUUACAAAAGAAAGUUAUAAAUGAAGCGGUCUGGAAAGGCCCGCCAAAGACGGUAACAGCCCGGUAGUUGAAAUAGCUUUCCCUCCAGAGUGGAUCCUGAGUACGGCGGAACACGUGAAAUUCCGUCGGAAUCCGGGAGGACCAUCUCCCAAGGCUAAAUACUCCCUAGUGACCGAUAGUGAACCAGUACCGUGAGGGAAAGGUGAAAAGCACCCCGGAAGGGGAGUGAAACAGUUCCUGAAACCGUGUGCCUACAAGUAGUUAGAGCCCGUUAAUGGGUGAUAGCGUGCCUUUUGUAGAAUGAACCGGCGAGUUACGAUUUGUUGCAAGGUUAAGCGGAAAAAGCGGAGCCGUAGCGAAAGCGAGUCUGAAUAGGGCGCAUAAGUAACAGGUCGUAGACCCGAAACCAGGUGAUCUACCCAUGUCCAGGAUGAAGGUAAGGUAAUACUUACUGGAGGUCCGAACCCACGCACGUUGAAAAGUGCGGGGAUGAGGUGUGGGUAGCGGAGAAAUUCCAAUCGAACUUGGAGAUAGCUGGUUCUCUCCGAAAUAGCUUUAGGGCUAGCCUCGAGGUAAAGAGUCAUGGAGGUAGAGCACUGUUUGGACUAGGGGCCCUUCUCGGGUUACCGAAUUCAGAUAAACUCCGAAUGCCAUGUACUUAUACUCGGGAGUCAGACUGCGAGUGAUAAGAUCCGUAGUCGAAAGGGAAACAGCCCAGACCACCAGUUAAGGUCCCCAAAUAUAUGUUAAGUGGAAAAGGAUGUGGGGUUGCUUAGACAACCAGGAUGUUGGCUUAGAAGCAGCCACCAUUGAAAGAGUGCGUAAUAGCUCACUGGUCGAGUGACCCCGCGCCGAAAAUGUACCGGGGCUAAACAUAUUACCGAAACUGUGGAUGAACCUCUUUAGAGGUUCGUGGUAGGAGAGCGUUCUAAGGGCGGUGAAGUCAGACCGGAAGGACUGGUGGAGCGCUUAGAAGUGAGAAUGCCGGUAUGAGUAGCGAAAGAAGGGUGAGAAUCCCUUCCACCGAAUAUCUAAGGUUUCCUGAGGAAGGCUCGUCCGCUC